Molecule: long non-coding RNA, 217 nt
Filed under: Mytilus galloprovincialis (Mediterranean mussel)
Lineage: Eukaryota; Metazoa; Mollusca; Bivalvia; Mytilida; Mytilidae
Source: RNAcentral
UUAAUGUGGCUCGUGGGUACAAAAAUUUCAGCAAAAAAUUAAAUCUUUAUUUUUUCAUUACAAAUUUUAUUUAUUACACUAUUAGUUAUUACUUUAUAAUAUGGUACAAAAAUCAACCCAAAAAAUCGAUUCGUUUUGGCCCCAGAUGACUUUUAAAAUGUUUAUAUUAUUGAACAAGCUCCAAAUUAUCUCCCUUUGGUACAAAAAUGCCAUUUUU